GCGGUCAUGGUGGAAUAGGCAGACACGCCAGCUUGAGGGGCUGGUGAACGCGAGUUCGUGCAGGUUCAAGUCCUGUUGACCGCACCA
RNAcentral lists this transfer RNA (87 nucleotides) under Clostridiales bacterium. RNAcentral describes it as "tRNA-Leu". It matches the Rfam family "tRNA". Rfam says of the family: Transfer RNA (tRNA) molecules are approximately 80 nucleotides in length. Their secondary structure includes four short double-helical elements and three loops (D, anti-codon, and T loops). The record is from RNAcentral. Lineage: Bacteria; Bacillati; Bacillota; Clostridia; Eubacteriales.